GUACACGCUGUGACUAGCAUAUCAAUAAGCGGAGGAAAAGAAACUAACAAGGAUUCCCCUAGUAACGGCGAGUGAAGCGGGAAGAGCUCAAAUUUGAAAUCUUAAAGGGUUUCCCUUUACGAAUUGUAGUUUAAAGAAGUGUUUUCUGUUACGAUCGUAAUAUAAGUUCUUUGGAAUAGGACAUCACAGAGGGUGAGAAUCCCGUCUAUGAUUGCGAUUUGUAGCUUUGUGAUACACCUUCAAAGAGUCGGGUUGUUUGGGAAUGCAGCCCAAAACGGGAGGUAAAUUUCUUCUAAGGCUAAAUAUUGGCGAGAGACCGAUAGCGAACAAGUACCGUGAGGGAAAGAUGAAAAGAGCUUUGAAAAGAGAGUUAAAUAGUACGUGAAAUUGUCAAAAGGGAAGCGUUUAACACCAGUGUUGUUUUCUGAAAAUCAACCUCUGUUAGCUUUAUGCAUGUUUGUUUAGACCUAAUCAGCUAUCUUGCAUGUUCUAUUGUUUGCAGUGGUGCACUUUUCAGUUUACAGGUCAACAUCAGUUUUUUUUACCGUAAAAAAGUUAAAGAAAGGUAGCUCAUGGCUCCGGUCGUGAGUGUUAUAGUCUUUUUCCUAUGCGGUAGGAGAGACUGAGGUCUGCAGUGUAGGCUAUUUGGCUAGAUACUCAGGUGCUAUGUGAUACCAUUUCAUAAACAACUUGUUGAUUAUGUUUUGUCUAUUGCAUACUCGCUUGUACUAUCAUACCUACGCUUAGGAUGUUGAACUACUGAGACAUAGA
This 771-nucleotide ribosomal RNA is filed under the name uncultured Neocallimastigales. RNAcentral describes it as "partial large subunit ribosomal RNA". It matches the Rfam family "Eukaryotic large subunit ribosomal RNA", at positions 22 to 644 of the family's 3401-position model. Lineage: Eukaryota; Fungi; Neocallimastigomycota; Neocallimastigomycetes; Neocallimastigales. The record is from RNAcentral.